AUCCAUGAGCGAUUGUCGGCUAGUAGUUCUAUUAUAUCGAUGGUCAGUCGUUCGCUGUCGAUCAGUAGUAAUUGAAUCAUUAGUCGGUCAGCUGACAAUAGGUCGGUGCGGUUCGUUCAGUUUGUUGAUGGAGAGUCGAAAUCGUAUAUUCAGUCGAUGUAGAGUCGGAGUUGUAUGUCUGGUCGGUCGACUGUUGUUGAGUCAAAGUCGGU
Molecule: long non-coding RNA, 212 nt
Filed under: Elaeis guineensis (African oil palm)
Lineage: Eukaryota; Viridiplantae; Streptophyta; Magnoliopsida; Arecales; Arecaceae
Description: long non-coding RNA (EGUI_LNC036124)
Source: RNAcentral